Molecule: small nuclear RNA, 189 nt
Organism: Hyla sarda
Lineage: Eukaryota; Metazoa; Chordata; Amphibia; Anura; Hylidae
Product: U2 spliceosomal RNA
Exons: 1
Source: RefSeq, a predicted model, not a curated record
AUCGAUUAUCUGCUUGUUGGCUAAGAUAGUGUAGUAUCUGUUCUUAUCAGUUUAAUAUCUGAUAUGUCCCCUAUCCGGGAACCAUAUACUGAAUACAUUUUUCAGAACGGGGGACUAUUUUGAAGCUUGCUUCCAUCGCCCUAGGCGUGUGACUGUUAGGUCUGUUUCUGCAGGCUCGGUGCACCUCAC